This 318-nucleotide RNase P RNA is filed under the name Enterobacteriaceae bacterium. RNAcentral describes it as "RNase P RNA component class A". It matches the Rfam family "Bacterial RNase P class A". From Rfam's summary of the family: Ribonuclease P (RNase P) is a ubiquitous endoribonuclease, found in archaea, bacteria and eukarya as well as chloroplasts and mitochondria. Its best characterised activity is the generation of mature 5'-ends of tRNAs by cleaving the 5'-leader elements of precursor-tRNAs. Cellular RNase Ps are ribonucleoproteins. The record is from RNAcentral. Lineage: Bacteria; Pseudomonadati; Pseudomonadota; Gammaproteobacteria; Enterobacterales; Enterobacteriaceae.
GAAGCUGACCAGACAGUCGCCGCUUCGUCGUUGUCCUCCUUCGGGGGAGACAGGCGAAGGGGAGGAAAGUCCGGGCUCCAUAGGGCAGGGUGCCAGGUAACGCCUGGGGGGUGUAACAGCCUACGACCAGUGCAACAGAGAGCAAACCGCCGAUGGCCCGCGCAAGUGGGAUCAGGUAAGGGUGAAAGGGUGCGGUAAGAGCGUUCAUAAGGUACGGCCCGUACUGAACCCGGGUAGGCUGCUUGAGCCAGUGAGCGAUUGCUGGCCUAGAUGAAUGACUGUCCACGACAGAACCCGGCUUAUCGGUCAGUUUCGAUC